GCCGCUUCCGUUGCGCGUCAGUGAAAUUUCUUUCCAACUUGUGCGGUUCAUUGUCUACAGUCAGCGCGCUGACCUUUUGCUGCUCUCCAUCGCCUGCCCUGCAAGCGCUCGCGGCCACUCUGACUUCGUCUUUGCACUCGGCCACGCUGCAAGUUUCCGGCGCGCUUGGAACCAUGCAAUUUGUCCAGGCACUAAAUAAUGAAAGCUAUGAUGCUUGUUAUCUGCACACUCGUCGCACUGCAUGUCGUUUCAGGAAAGAAGCGGAGACCAGCAAGCAAUCCAUGCAACAAACCCGCUGCCCGCGGAAGUUGCAACGGAUCAUUCAAGAGAUGGCACUUUUCCAAUACAAGCUAUUAUUGUCAGCGGUUUACUUAUUCAGGAUGUGGAGGAAAUG
Molecule: long non-coding RNA, 394 nt
Organism: Dermacentor silvarum
Lineage: Eukaryota; Metazoa; Arthropoda; Arachnida; Ixodida; Ixodidae
Exons: 4
Source: RefSeq, a predicted model, not a curated record